Molecule: ribosomal RNA, 233 nt
Filed under: uncultured bacterium
Lineage: Bacteria
Description: partial 16S ribosomal RNA
Rfam family: Bacterial small subunit ribosomal RNA
Source: RNAcentral
UCCACGCUGUAAACGAUGGAUACUAGGUGUUGGCCCAUUUGGGGUCGGCGCCGCAGCUAACGCAUUAAGUAUCCCGCCUGGGGAGUACGACCGCAAGGUUGAAACUCAAAGGAAUUGACGGGGGCCCGCACAAGCGGUGGAGCAUGUGGUUUAAUUCGAUGCAACGUGAAGAACCUUACCUGGGCUUGAACCGCAGAUGAUAUCCCCUGAAAAGGGGCUUUCCUUCGGGACAU